ACAGAGGGGGCAAGCGUUGUUCGGAAUUACUGGGCGUAAAGGGCGCGUAGGCGGCCUGCUAAGUCGAACGUGAAAUCCCCGGGCUCAACCCGGGAACUGCGUCCGAUACUGGCAGGCUUGAAUCCGGGAGAGUGAUGCGGAAUUCCAGGUGUAGCGGUGAAAUGCGUAGAUAUCUGGAGGAACACCGGUGGCGAAGGCGGCGUUCUGGACCAUUACUGACACUGAACCGCGAAAGCUAGGGGAGCAAACGGGA
This 253-nucleotide ribosomal RNA is filed under the name uncultured prokaryote. Its description in RNAcentral is "partial 16S ribosomal RNA". It matches the Rfam family "Bacterial small subunit ribosomal RNA", at positions 525 to 777 of the family's 1533-position model. The record is from RNAcentral.